UGUUCGUGGUAAGUUAUUAACAGUGUUCAUCGCCUCAGUUGUAAACAUUAAGUCGACCAAAAUGUGUUAAUUAAAAUCCAAACUUGGAUGAUUUAAUACUUCACUAGGUCACUACAGGAUUAUGAGUGUUGAUGUUCAUCAGUGCCAGCAGAAGGCUGGUCUUCACAGCCUCAAGAGAGAGGACGAUCUGUCUCAUGGCAGGGCAGGCAGCACCACCACCCGCCGAAGACAGUCCACUCAGCAGAGCCAGGACUUGUCUGUAAACACUUCUACAUCUGGCGAGGUCACGGGUCGAAAGAUUUAAUGGCAUCACAUGCCAGCACUGUAGCUGAAGCCAUCUGCAAUAACAGUCAUUAUUCUAAUUUUUAUACAAUUUAUUGCUUGUCACUGUUGAAGAUGGAGGAGACAACCAUCUCGUUACAGCCUCAUGGAUCGUUAAAAUUGAAGUUGACGGCUCCAAUUGGUUAUUACUGUAGUGUUAAGACAACUACCAUAUUGCUGCCUCGCUGAUCGUGGUUAAUGAAGUUCCUCUUGUCAUUCGUCGAGGACGGUGCCGUAAAGAUGUAAGAUAUGGGCCACAAGACGAAGGUUUGUUUUGGUUAGCGGGUCUCUUGCUGCACCACAUUGGAAACUUUCUGCUAUAACGUAAGGUACAGUACAGUGUAUAUCUUUGUGGCUUUAGUUUUUAUUAAGGAUCUGGGAUCACCGUUUA
Long non-coding RNA from Homarus americanus (American lobster), 712 nucleotides. RefSeq lists it as uncharacterized. NCBI's taxonomy places the organism in Eukaryota, Metazoa, Arthropoda, Malacostraca, Decapoda, Nephropidae. The record is from RefSeq and is a predicted model, not a curated record. The transcript has 4 exons.